GCCAGGCGCAGUGGCAUGUGCCUGUAGUCCCAGCUACUCGGGAGGCUGAGGCUGGAGGAUCGCUUGAGUCCAGGAGUUCUGGGCUGUACUGCACUAUGCCAAUUGGGUGUCCACACUAAGUUUGGCAUCAAUAAGGUGACCUACCAGGAGCAGGGGACCACCAGGGUUGCCUAAGGAGGAGUGAACCCGCCCAGGUCAGAAUCAGAACAGGUCAAACUCCCGUGCUGAUUAGUAGUGGGAUUGCACCUGUGAAUAGCCACUGCACUCCAGCCUGGGCAACAUAGCAAGACCUCAUCUGU
RNAcentral lists this signal recognition particle RNA (299 nucleotides) under Saimiri boliviensis boliviensis (Bolivian squirrel monkey). RNAcentral's name for it is "Metazoan signal recognition particle RNA (ENSSBOG00000009012.1)". It matches the Rfam family "Metazoan signal recognition particle RNA". From Rfam's summary of the family: The signal recognition particle (SRP) is a universally conserved ribonucleoprotein. It is involved in the co-translational targeting of proteins to membranes. The eukaryotic SRP consists of a 300-nucleotide 7S RNA and six proteins: SRPs 72, 68, 54, 19, 14, and 9. Lineage: Eukaryota; Metazoa; Chordata; Mammalia; Primates; Cebidae. The record is from RNAcentral.